GAAGUUUUCGGAUCGCGGCGACGUCGACGGUUCGCCGUCGGUGACGUUGUGAGAAGUUCAUUAAACCUUAUCAUUUAGAGGAAGGAGAAGUCGUAACAAGGUUUCCGUAGGUGAACCUGCGGAAGGAUCAUUG
This 133-nucleotide ribosomal RNA is filed under the name Neohattoria herzogii. Its description in RNAcentral is "partial 18S ribosomal RNA". It matches the Rfam family "Eukaryotic small subunit ribosomal RNA", at positions 1703 to 1831 of the family's 1831-position model. The record is from RNAcentral. Lineage: Eukaryota; Viridiplantae; Streptophyta; Jungermanniopsida; Porellales; Jubulaceae.